GGCGGCAACAGCGCGGUGGUCCCACCUGACCCCAUGCCGAACUCAGAAGUGAAACGCCGUAGCGCCGAUGGUAGUGUGGGGCCUCCCCAUGCGAGAGUAGGGAACUGCCAGGC
RNAcentral lists this ribosomal RNA (113 nucleotides) under Pantoea dispersa. Lineage: Bacteria; Pseudomonadati; Pseudomonadota; Gammaproteobacteria; Enterobacterales; Erwiniaceae. RNAcentral also lists the same sequence under 2 other names. The record is from RNAcentral.